ACUCCUACGGGAGGCAGCAGUAGGGAAUCUUCCACAAUGGGCGAAAGCCUGAUGGAGCAACGCCGCGUGAGUGAUGAAGGUUUUCGAAUCGUAUAGCUCUGUUGCCAGGGAAGAACGUCCCGGUCAGUAACUGCACUCGGAGUGACGGUACCUGAGAAGAAAGCCCCGGCUAACUACGUGCCAGCAGCCGCGGUAAUA
RNAcentral lists this ribosomal RNA (198 nucleotides) under uncultured bacterium. RNAcentral describes it as "partial 16S ribosomal RNA". It matches the Rfam family "Bacterial small subunit ribosomal RNA", at positions 335 to 525 of the family's 1533-position model. The record is from RNAcentral.